This 208-nucleotide ribosomal RNA is filed under the name uncultured bacterium. RNAcentral's name for it is "partial 16S ribosomal RNA". It matches the Rfam family "Bacterial small subunit ribosomal RNA", at positions 568 to 775 of the family's 1533-position model. The record is from RNAcentral.
CGUGUAGGCGGCCAGAAAAGUCCGCUGUGAAAACUCGAGGCUCAACUUCGAGCUGUCGGUGGAAACUUUCUGGCUAGAGUCCGGAAGAGGAGAAUGGAAUUCCUGGUGUAGCGGUGAAAUGCGCAGAUAUCAGGAAGAACACCCGUGGCGAAGGCGGUUCUCUGGGACGGUACUGACGCUGAGACGCGAAAACGUGGGGAGCGGAACG